UACGUAGGUGGCAAGCGUUGUCCGGAUUUAUUGGGUUUAAAGGGUGCGUAGGCGGUUUGGCAAGUCGGGUGUGAAAACUCCGGGCUCAACUCGGAGACGCCACUCGAUACUGCCAUGACUUGAGUCCGGUAGGGGAGUGCGGAAUUCCUGGUGUAGCGGUGAAAUGCGCAGAUAUCAGGAAGAACACCCGUGGCGAAGGCGGCUCUCUGGGACGGUACUGACGCUGAGACGCGAAAGCGUGGGGAGCGAACAGG
Molecule: ribosomal RNA, 254 nt
Filed under: uncultured bacterium
Lineage: Bacteria
Description: partial 16S ribosomal RNA
Rfam family: Bacterial small subunit ribosomal RNA
Source: RNAcentral